Molecule: ribosomal RNA, 1314 nt
Filed under: Cytospora sp.
Lineage: Eukaryota; Fungi; Ascomycota; Sordariomycetes; Diaporthales; Cytosporaceae
Description: partial large subunit ribosomal RNA
Source: RNAcentral
CAGGGAUUGCCCUAGUAACGGCGAGUGAAGCGGCAACAGCUCAAAUUUGAAAGCUGGCUCCGGCCCGCAUUGUAAUUUGCAGAGGAUGCUUUUGGCGAGGUGCCUUCCGAGUUCCCUGGAACGGGACGCCAUAGAGGGUGAGAGCCCCGUAUGGAUGGACACCAAACCUGUGUAAAGCUCCUUCAACGAGUCGAGUAGUUUGGGAAUGCUGCUCUAAAUGGGAGGUAAAUCUCUUCUAAAGCUAAAUACCGGCCAGAGACCGAUAGCGCACAAGUAGAGUGAUCGAAAGAUGAAAAGCACCUUGAAAAGGGGGUUAAACAGUACGUGAAAUUGUUGAAAGGGAAGCAUUUAUGACCAGACUUGCGCCGGACAGCUCAUCAGGGGUUCUCCCCUGUGCACUCUGUCCGGCUCAGGCCAGCAUCGGUUCUCGUGGGAGGAUAAGAACAGUGGGAACGUGGCCCCCCUCCGGGGGGGUGUUAUAGCCCAUUGUACGAUACUCUCGUGGGGACCGAGGUUCGCGCUCCGCAAGGAUGCUGGCGUAAUGGUCAUCAAUGACCCGUCUUGAAACACGGACCAAGGAGUCGUCCAUUAGAGCGAGCGUUUGGGUGUAAAACCCGCACGCGUAAUGAAAGUGAACGCAGGUGAGAGCUUCGGCGCAUCAUCGACCGAUCCUGAUGUCUUCGGAUGGAUUUGAGUAAGAGUUUUAACGGACGGACCCGAAAGACAGUGAACUAUGCUUGUAUAGGGUGAAGCCAGAGGAAACUCUGGUGGAGGCUCGCAGCGGUUCUGACGUGCAAAUCGAUCGUCAAAUAUGAGCAUGGGGGCGAAAGACUAAUCGAACUGUCUAGUAGCUGGUUACCGCCGAAGUUUCCCUCAGGAUAGCAGUGUUGUUCUUCAGUUUUAUGAGGUAAAGCGAAUGAUUAGGGACUCGGGGGCGCUUAUUAGCCUUCAUCCAUUCUCAAACUUUAAAUAUGUAAGAAGCCCUUGUUACUUAAUUGAACGUGGGCAUUCGAAUGUACCAACACUAGUGGGCCAUUUUUGGUAAGCAGAACUGGCGAUGCGGGAUGAACCGAACGCGGGGUUAAGGCGCCAGAGUGUACGCUCAUCAGACACCACAAAAGGCGUUAGUACAUCUUGACAGCAGGACGGUGGCCAUGGAAGUCGGAAUCCGCUAAGGACUGUGUAACAACUCACCUGCCGAAWGKACUAGCCCUGAAAAUGGAUGGCGCUCAAGCGUACCGCCCAUACCCCGCCCUCAGGGUAGAAACGAUGCCCUGAGGAGUAGGCGGCCGUGGGGGUCAGUGACGAAGCCUA